CUGAGAACAGUUGGUUUAUGAAGUUUUCUACUGGGAGGUUUAAAGAAGAGCUUAGGAGUCACGUGUUUGAACACCGCUCGUUACCAGAUGCUUUCCUGGGCUUCAGUUCCCUCGUGUUUUAGAAUGGGGAUGCACAUUCCUACGUCCCAGGGCAUGUUGGGAGCUUUUAAAGAACUAGAAUUUAUCCAAUGAAAAAGGCUUUUUUGUACUUUUCCCUGGUCACUGGGAUGCUGACCGUGAUCCACAGAUUUUCAAGGACCCAAGAUUACAAUCAAAUACGCUAAGUGACGCUACUGAGUAUAGUUUAAUGCCUUUCCUUUAGACCAUAUUUUAACCUUGCAGCUCUAAAGGCCACAUCAUGUCUCUAGGUUAAUUAAGUACCAAGUGGCAAAGCUGAUGGCACAAAAUGGAGCACAAGUUCAUUGUUAUUAAAUAAAAGUGGCGUAAAGUCUAAGGCAUAAACCAAUCUAAGUUCCAAACGCAAUGAAGGCAACAGUGAGAGAUUAGGAAGGCAGCCCCAACCCAGCUCCAUUUUUCUUUGCUGGCAUUUCUGAGGUAUAAAUCAAAUGUGAUUUGUU
This is a long non-coding RNA of Pipistrellus kuhlii (Kuhl's pipistrelle), 578 nucleotides long. RefSeq lists it as uncharacterized. Lineage: Eukaryota; Metazoa; Chordata; Mammalia; Chiroptera; Vespertilionidae. The record is from RefSeq and is a predicted model, not a curated record. The transcript has 2 exons.